Molecule: ribosomal RNA, 445 nt
Filed under: uncultured soil bacterium
Lineage: Bacteria
Description: bacterial SSU rRNA
Rfam family: Bacterial small subunit ribosomal RNA
Source: RNAcentral
AGAACGAACGCUGGCGGCAUGCCUAAUACAUGCAAGUCGAACGAAGGCUUCGGCCUUAGUGGCGCACGGGUGCGUAACGCGUGGGAAUCUGCCCCUUGGUUCGGAAUAACAGUUGGAAACGACUGCUAAUACCGGAUGAUGACGAAAGUCCAAAGAUUUAUCGCCAAGGGAUGAGCCCGCGUAGGAUUAGCUAGUUGGUGAGGUAAAGGCUCACCAAGGCGACGAUCCUUAGCUGGUCUGAGAGGAUGAUCAGCCACACUGGGACCGAGACACGGCCCAGACUCCUACGGGAGGCAGCAGUAGGGAAUAUUGGACAAUGGGCGAAAGCCUGAUCCAGCAAUGCCGCGUGAGUGAUGAAGGCCUUAGGGUUGUAAAGCUCUUUUACCCGAGAUGAUAAUGACAGUAUCGGAGAAUAAGCCCCGGCUAACUCCGCGCCAGCAGCCGC